Molecule: non-coding RNA, 172 nt
Filed under: Thermincola carboxydiphila JR
Lineage: Bacteria; Bacillati; Bacillota; Clostridia; Eubacteriales; Thermincolaceae
Also listed under: 1 other name
Source: RNAcentral
UAAUUACCAAACGUUCCAGGUGCCCGUGAAGGGAGAAUAGGGAACCGGGUGCAAAUCCCGGACGGACCCGCCACUGUGAAGGAGAGCAGAUGCCAAACCACUCCGCAAGGGGGAAGGGGCAUUCAAUGCGAUGAACCUGAGUCAGGAGACCUGCCUGGAAUGGUCUAUGCCG